Molecule: ribosomal RNA, 253 nt
Filed under: uncultured bacterium
Lineage: Bacteria
Description: partial 16S ribosomal RNA
Rfam family: Bacterial small subunit ribosomal RNA
Source: RNAcentral
UACGAGUGGUGCAAGCGUUAUUCGGAAUCAUUGGGCGUAAAGGGUGUGUAGACGGCAUAUUAAGUCAACUGUUAAAUUCUCCGGCCUAACCGGAGGCUCAUAGUAGAUACUGAUGUGCUAGAGGGUGAAAGAGAGAAGUGGAAUUCUCGGAGUAGCGGUAAAAUGCGUAGAUCUCGAGAGGAACACCAAUGGCGAAAGCAGCUUCUUGGUUCACUUCUGACGUUGAAACACGAAAGCGUGGGGAGCAAACAGG